This 744-nucleotide non-coding RNA is filed under the name Lachesilla texcocana. The record is from RNAcentral. Lineage: Eukaryota; Metazoa; Arthropoda; Insecta; Psocodea; Lachesillidae.
AAAAAGUUUUAUUUUUGCUUUUUGUUAGGUAAUUUUAUUUAUAUAUAUAUAUAUAUAUAUAUAUAUAUUAUUGUUGAUUUAAGUUUUGUAUUAUAUAAUUUUAUUUAAAUUUUUGUUAAUGUAAAAGAAAUAAAAGUAUAAAAUGGCAAAAAUUGUGCCAGCAGCUGCGGUUACACAAUUAUUUUUUUCUAAUAUAAUUUAGGUUUUAAGAUUUUGAUUUUUAUUAAUAUAAUUAUUUAUUUUAAGUGAAAUUUAAUAAAUAAAAAAUUGUUUAUGGUAUAAGAUUGAGAAAAAUAAAGUGUCAAACCAGGAUUAGAUACCCUGUUAUGAUUUAUAAAGAAAUAAAAUUUAGAGUAGUAAUUGUUAAGAUCAGGAAACUCAAAAAAUUUGGCGGUAUUUAUUCUAAAUAGAGGAAUAUGUUUUUAAUCGAUAAUUCACGUUUAUUCAACUUAAUUUUAUUUAUUUUGUAUAUUUCCGUCUUAAAAAAUUUUUUUGAAAUAAAUUUUUUAAUUUUUUUUAAAAAAAGUCAGGUCAAGGUGCAGAUUAUAAUUAAGAAAAAAUGUAUUACAAUAAAUUUAUUUAUGGAAAUUGACUGAAAAAUUAUGAAAAUUGGAUUUAUUAGUAAAUUAAGUUAAAUAAUAUUUAAUUGAAAAAGUUAAUAAAUAUGUACAUAUUGCCCGUCAUUCUCUGUAAGGAGACAAGUCGUAACAAAGUAGAUUUACUGGAAAGUGAAUCUGGUUUCAA